RNAcentral lists this unclassified non-coding RNA (440 nucleotides) under plant metagenome. RNAcentral's name for it is "partial contains 5.8S ribosomal RNA, internal transcribed spacer 2, and large subunit ribosomal RNA". The record is from RNAcentral.
GUCGAGGCAAUGGUCCGCCCGGUAGACGAGCUGGGACCGUACGCGGUCAUAGCUCCGGGAGUGGCGAUACCGCACGCACGCCCUGAAGAUGGAGCGUUGAGAGCAGGCGUCAGCUUGGCGACGCUGCGUAGCCCUGUCGAAUUCGGAGCCGAAGAGAACGAUCCGGUUGACCUCGUCUUCGGCUUCGCAACCACAGAUGCCGACGCUCAUGUCGAGCUUAUGCGUGCGCUAGCUAACUUCCUAGGCGAGCAGGAGAACCUAGAGAAACUGCGAGAGGCGCGUACGGCUGAAGACGCCCUCGAAGUGCUCAGGAGCGAGACCUGAGGCGCGAUAGGAUUCUGGUCGAUUCAACAGUGUCGGAUAGACCCUCGGUUCAGUGUACCUGGUACGUGUGUACCGAGCACCACGGUUGGGAUGUAGCACAAGUGAGCGCUGAGUGA